Molecule: long non-coding RNA, 570 nt
Filed under: Toxoplasma gondii VEG
Lineage: Eukaryota; Apicomplexa; Conoidasida; Eucoccidiorida; Sarcocystidae
Source: RNAcentral
CGAAAAAGGCGAGAGAUGCCCUCCUGGACACUAUUGUCCCCAAGGCUCCUUCGAACCAGUCCCGUGCCCAGCUGGUACAUACAAUCCGUACGAAGGGAAGGGCAAUAUAUCGGAUUGCUUCAGCUGCACCAACGGCUCGGUCGGUACCCGUACUGGACAAAGCAGCUGUUCGUUUUGCGGUGGAAGCUCCUCGACAUCUCCUGGAGGAUCGCUUUGCCAAUGCAUUGGCGCCAACAGAGUGUUUCAGCGAAGCACGCGGACCUGCGUUUGCCAAACGGGCUACAUCUACGUCGAGAAUGGCAUUGAUCUGUCGGACCAGGAUGGAAAGGGUGACUGCCAGGAGCAGGCUUACGGUGAAUGUGACUACGGAGAAGUGCGUGACCCGGAAAAUAACUGCACUCUCGCUGACGUUCUCUGCAAUACCCAAUGCGGCCAACAAGGAGGGGUGUACGAUGCUAACUACCAGCGAUGUCUCUGCGCGAAUAUGUUGACAGCUGAGGAGGUUUGUGAUGAGACUUGUCGGCGGCGAGCAGGCAGCAUGAUCAUUCAUAAUGGAAACUUGGUUUUCAC